GCUUCGUUCUGUCAAUAUUAUGACCCCAAAGAGAAACUGGUGGUGGUCAAAAAGCGCACCCUCUUACACUGCGAUGAGGAACGAUAUAUAUUUUCGCGAAUGAGAGCGAACGAUAUAAAUGAUUCUUCAAAGGAAAUGGACUUGAGAUUGCCCGCACAAGCUUCAUGGCUAUACUGAAUUCGUACCAAAGCAGAUUAUGAAUUUCUUAGCUUAGUUCAGAUAAGUUAUAAUCAAUGUUUUAUAGUAUUACUAUAAAAAUAUAAAUUUAACCUAUGACAACAUCGCAUUUAUGAAUCAACAUGUUUAUUUUCCUAGGCUUAGUUUACAGGGGGUGGAUUGUACACAAGUAGUUCUGGCUACCAUAACUUUUAAUCAUAAAUGUCGCUUGUUAUGAUUUUUGACUGGCGCGACUUUAUAGUUAUGGACCAACCCCAUUAGGAAAGUCAACCAGUAAUUCCCGAAAAGUUGACAGUUAACAAAGACCGGUCCAAAACAGCUUUAAUAUGCAGUUAUUGGCCCAAAUCAACCACUUGAUCGGAAAGAUAAACAUUUUUCACAUUUAACUGAUAUAUUCUUUCACAAAAUACUAUCUUAAACAUUUAAAAUUUAUCUAUUCUGCUCUUACAUAUCGAGAAAAACAGCGAUGUGACAGACUUUCUUGAAAUGCAAAUCUCCCGAGAUUUCACGGUCAUAUGACGUUAUUUCUAUUUUUAGUAACAUACCAUGUGCUCAAGUGUUUUCAAAUUCAGAAUGACAUUUCCCGGUAUUUUAGAUUAUUCUGGCUUGUUUUGCACACAAAUUGUAGUGUUAAUACAAACUCAAAGUAAAUAUUAUUUAAAACUACCUGAUUCACAGUGAAAUCAGUCUUAUAAUCCACCAUACGUAAGUUGUUAAUCACAAAUAAUAGAUUUCAGAAAAAGAAAGUUAUGUUUACAAUCUCAGCAAAAAAUGUCAAGGUCGAUCCGAAAGUAUCCAAAUGAAAACUCGUCACGUGACAAAGCGACAAUGGCGUCAAAAUUGUGAAUUUUAGACUGAUGAGAGUUAUGUUCAUCUAUUGUAAGAUGCAUUUGAAAUAUUUGAACCUUAAAAUAUUCCCGGAUGCAGUAAUUUAUAUUCAUUCACUAAUAUAUGUAGAAAUGUAUCCAAGAAAAUUAGCUUUCUUUGAAUUAUAGCGUGACAUAAAUAUGUUACGACUCUGGUUGACUUUCGAUACGGGGUUCGCUUCAGCGUACAGGUCUGUCAAUACUUUAUAAAAUGUACGCUGAAGUUUCUUUAGCUAGUACACAAGUAGCUAACAAUCCACCCCCUGUAACCUAAGCCUAGGAAAAGAUAACUGGUGUGGCGUAAGUGAGAAAAAUAGUAAGAAUUAUUAACAAUCACUUACUUGUGUAUGAAGUCAUCAAUAACUUUUUAAAUAUUGAUAAUGCAUCUACAGGAUUUACACAGAGGUUAAUUGGAUAUCAGUUGACUAUUCUGAGCAUAAGAAUAAUGCCAUAUAAGUAUAGUAAAUGUACACACCUUACUAAAGUUUACACAAAACAUAUAAAAUCAGCAGUUGGCCACCAUGUUGAACACCAGUUACUAUUGUUCUCACUUACGCCACACCAGUUAAUUGCGUAUGAUCCAACCUCUGGGUUAGAAAGUAUCUUGCUAUUAAGAAUUGUCUGAACAAACAUUUGCUCAAAUAUUCUGUGUUCUGAGAUCCAAUGAGGUCUAACUCCUGCUGGUGUAGCUGAAGUUUCACUUUUUUAGAUUUGGCUUGCAAAUCUUUAAUUUUUGUGAAAAAGCAUUUCUUAAAUUCAUUGGUUCCUUGUCCAACUCAGCACGGAAAUUCAGCCAAUGAGAAACCUAUUAAAAUACAUGUAGUUCUUGAAUGGUUUGGGCUUUUAUAAAUACAUAUGUAGUUAUGUACAGCUCAAUGUUCUUCCUGGUAAACGCAUGUAAACUAUUAAAACAAAUUAAGUCUCAAGUAUCUCUAUAACAUCGAGUUCCAUCAACUUAAUACAUCAAAACAAACACAACAACUGUUAUCUUCAACAUCAAUUUGCAUGUCUUUGGUAGAAAAUUGCUCAAAACAAAAACUUCAUGAGAAAACACGUUAUCGAACAAAAAGCAGAAGUUUUUAAUUGAAAAAUCAAUGUAUCUUACAGAGGUUCUGGAGAACGUUGAUGAAGCAUGAUGUGUUGAUCGACACAAGAUCCAUCUGUCAGAGGAUUCCGAAGAUUCAGAAUAUUCGGCUUUGUCAAUUUAAAAAACUUUUUAUGAAACGUUGAUAUGUUUGAAACAAUGGAUGUUCCAUAGAGAAAACUAUGACUGAACCUUGUACACUGCUUUACGAGAUCUAGCAAUGUCUCAGAUUAAUGCAGUGUUGGCAGGUAUGCAAACGUCCUUACAGUAUGACCACUUCAAAGGGGCAUUGUACCCCCUGACAUUGGACUGUGUGCCAGCCCAAAAGGUAUUCCCAAUUAAAUCCCUGGUUCAAAUUGCCUCAGAUUACAUAGUGAAGGACGCUACCAUGACACUAAGCGCAAUAGAAGUCAUGCCUCAGGAAGUGUUUACAGUGCUUUUACAGCAGGCAUUAGAAGGAAACAGAGAUCGUGCAGUGGAUGUUUUGCUUACAAAAUGGCCUUUACCCACAUUGUCACUCAAGAAAUUUGCACCAAACAUUUUCACAAAUCUUGGGCUACUUCACAGUCAGUCAGAAUUGAUAAAAGUGGCGAAGCAGGGUUUACGCUACACUACUUGCAUUGCUCACAAUUUUCUGGAAACGCUGAAGAGAAAAUGUGACACAAGAUUAAAAGUUGUAGACAUCAGUGGAUAUCCAACUGCUGAAGUGAUCACAUACUACCUGGCAACACACUGCAUGCUGGCCCACAAUGAGGCCCGACAGAACAUGAUGAUACGCAAGUAUGAAGAGGCUGUGAAACUGCUGCCAGAAAAUGAAGCCUGUGCUCGCGAAAGGUUCACAACCGACCAGUCACUGCCUGAUGACAACUUUGUGGUGAAAUUGGACGUGUUUAUAAGCUCCGAGGCGUCACUGUAUGAGCUCUGCAAGGCCUUGAAGGUGUCCGGUUUCCAGGAGAGCACUUUAAAACUGAUUGUUAACAAGCUGGACGCCACUUGUCUUGGUGCAGGCAAAGUGGAAAUACUCCUAGAGCAGCUCAACCCUGAGUUUCUUCAUGGACUAAGUUUGAAGUUUAACUCAAUCAAUUCCGAAGAGCUGUCCAAGCUGUGUCCUCUCCUACGAACUCUCACAAACCUUACCAUCCUGGAUCUCUCGGGUAACAUGAUCAACCUGUCUGUAGCGGCCAGCGAUACUUGCGUUAACUUCACAGACACUUUAGGCUCACUAGGUCAUUUAGUGAGACUCGAUUUAAGUAACAAUAUUGUACGCGGCAACCUUCGGAGAGUGUUGUCUGCAGUUGUUCAGCCACUGCAGUAUUUAUCACUCGAAGGCUGCGGCUUAUCGCCAGUGGACAUCGCGUAUCUUUCCGUAUCUCACCAUUCUGCAUCUGUUUGUGAACUUCUUCUCAGUAAUAACAAUUUACGACAGAGCCUGUCUUCUCUGAUGGCAUUACUUAGGAACCUAAAAACCAGCCUUAAGCUUAUCCAGCUCGAGAACUGCAGUUUUUCCAAUGAAAACUGCAGCAUGUUGUCAGAAUCCAUGAAGAGACUUACCUCGGUAGUGUACCUGGAUCUACAGGAUAAUCUCUUCUCUCUGAACAAUGUCUACCAGCUUGGGGUGUCCCUAGCGUGUCUGGAGACUCUGCAGUACCUAAGGGUGUCUUACCCAACUGACAGUUACCAUGACGACCCUGAAGUGCAGAACCAGUCGCAGAAGGAGUUUGUGGUCAUGCUGGGCGAGCUUAUAUACCGAGAGAAGCAGCGGCUGCACCAGAAUGAGAAAACAUUGAGUGUGAUAUUUUGUCAUUUGCCUCAUGUGCAUGUACAAAUAUAAUUGUAUUUGUAGUGAUUUAUUAUUUCCUGACCUUUUCAAAAGAGCCACAUUGUGGGAAAACUAGGCUUUAUAAAUGUGCAUAAAAUUCCAUCCCAAAUUUGCCUGUGCAGUCUGCACAGGCUAAUCAGGGAAGACACUUUCCACCUAAACGGGAUAUUUGUUUGGAAGAUGCUUCCUUUAAAUGAAAAAAUUCAUAAAAGUGGAAAUUGUCGUCUCUCAUAACCCUGUGAGGACUGCACAGGCUAAUCAGCACAUUAUUUUACCCACGUGCAGUCCGCCAAAUUUGUGCAGUAGGAGGCUUAAUAGUAUUUUAAGUGAUUUGUUUUCAAAUGUUUGGGCUAAUACUUGUUUUUAUGCACUUGGAUCGAAUGAACGGGGGUAUAUUGUUUUUGGCCUGUCUGUCUGUGUGUGUGUCUGUCUGUGUGUGUGUGUGUCUGUCUGUCUGUCUGUCUGUCUGUCUGUCUGUCUGUCCGUCCGUCCGUCCGUCCGUCUGUCUGUCUGUCUGUCUGUCUGUCUGUCUGUCUGUCUGUCUGUCUGUCUGUCUGUCUGUCUGUCUGUCUGUCAUUGUAUGUGUCACAAAACUUUAACCUUGGUCAUAACUUUUGCAAUAUUGAUUAUAGCAACUUGAUAAUUGGCAUGCAUGUGUAUAUCAUGGAGCUGCACAUUUUGAGUGGUGAAAGGUCAAGGUCAUCCUUUAGGUCAAAGGUCAAUAACAAAAAUUCAAAGCGGCGCAUUAGGGGGCAUUUGUUUCUGACAAACACAUCUCUUGUUGCUUAAUAAAAAAUGCUUACAUUCUAUUUAAAUUCUUUGUUAAUAGGUUCAAGUUGUAAAGGUUUCAUUGCCUAUCCUAAGAUACUGAUGAUCAGCAAACAGCAUAAAACCUGAACUGCCAUUGAGUUACUCAUAGGCUGUUCUGGUUUUAUGCUGGUUGCAUACAGCUGUUUCAAAUUUUCUUUUUAGUGGGAAAGGGUUAAGAUAAUGAUGUCUGCAAGUACUAGUAAUUUGAUUUACAAAUCCCAAUGUUUAAUGAGAUAACCCAACAAAAUGAAAGCUUCAGUCAAGUAUGAUCAACCGUUAAGAUUACUUUAAGGCAGUGUAAGCCCAGAAGGUGAUGGUCCAUAUAAUGGUGCAAUAUUUUAAUCUUUAUGUACCCAAACAGAGGCUUGCUUGUAUAUGAAAUUGUUGUGCUCUUCUCAUAUGAUGUUAAAAUCUUCAUGGUUGAAAUUCUUCAGACUUUGUCAUGACUUUGUCUAUAGUUAUCAGGCUUGACAUAUCUUAUAUUUGCUGACAUGUCCAGUUUUUACAAAGCUUUUGUGACUGUUGUCUGUACAUGCUGUGGGACAAAAUUGUCAAUGCAGAUUUUUCCAUCACUGGUUAUUUUUAUAAAGUAUUUUGGACAAAGAAUCACCCUUUUUUAAGCUGUCAUCUCUUUUAUUCACAAUUCUUACAUAAUAUUUAAUUAUUUUGCUAUUGAUAAAGAACACUAUAAUUUUUAGCUGGGCUGUUUUCAGAGAAAACCUGGGGUAUUGUCAUAGCCAGCUCGUCGUGUCAUGACGUCCGCCAUCCACGUUGUGCUGAAACCGUAACAUUGGUUCAAAAAUCAAAGUGCUUCCACCUACAACUUUGAAACUUCAUAUGUAGAUGCACCUUGAUGACUUCUACAUGCCAAACCUAUUUUUCGGUCACAAGGUCAAAGGUCAAGGUCACUGUGACCUCUAAAAAACAAACACAUUCUGACAAGCAUUCAUUUAUUCAAAACUGCAACCGCAGCCGAGCAUUGGCACCCUUCAUGGGGUGUGCUGUUGUUGAAAUUGUCUUCAUUAACAAAGCAGAAUGAAGUAUUGAACUUAAGCACAGAAUGUUCGAAUUUCAAUGAAAACAUUAUUCAAACUAAGCACACAGUUAACUACAUUCCAAAUCAGGAGUUUAAAAUAUAAUUAUCAUGAAAUAUCUUAUGAAAAUAGUCUUAAAAGAAAUGAACACAAUUUAUUUCAUUAGAAUUGUAUUGAUUUAUUAUGCUCCCCCAAAAUUUAUUUUGGGGGGAUCAUACAGUCGCCGCUUCGUCUGUCCUUCCGUCUGUCCGUCCGUGCAAAAUUUUUGUCCGGGCUAUUUCUCAGCAACUAAUGACUGGAAUUCAAUGAAACCUUCUGGGAAGCUUCACUACCAAGAGGAGAUGUGCAUAUUAUCAGCGGGUUCUGGUUGGAUGAUUUUUCACAGAGUUAUGGCCCUUUGAAAUUUUCCAUUAACUGUACAUAUAGUGCUAUUCUUGUCCAGGCUAUUUCUCAGCAACUAAUGACCGGAAUUCAAUGAAACUUUAUGGGAAGCUUCACUACCAAGAGGAGAUGUGCAUAUUAUCAGCCGGUUCUGGUCGGAUGAUUUUUCACAGAGUAAUGGCCCUUCGCAAUUUUCCAUUAACUGUACAUAUAGUGCAAUUCUUGUCCGGGCUAUUUCUCAGUAACUAAUGACCGGAAUUCAAUGAAACUUUAUGUGAAGCUUCACUACCAAGAGGAGAUGUGCAUAUUAUCAACGGGUUCUGGUCGGAUGAGUUUUCACAGAGUAAUGGCCCUUUGAAAUUUUCCAUUAACUGUACAUAUAGUGCAAUUCUUGUCCCGGCUAUUUCUCAGCAACUAAUGACCGGAAUUCAAUGAAACUUUAUGGGAAGCUUCACUACCGAGAGGAGAUGUGCAUAUUAUCAGCGGGUUCUGGUCGGAUGAGUUUUCACAGAGUUAUGGCCCUUUGAAAUUUUCUAUAAAAAGUCUUGUCCCCCCAACUACUGUGCCCUGAAGACGUUUCCUUUUAUCUGAAUAUAUAAUGCAAUAAAAAACAAUUUUGGGGAGCAUCACCCGUCUCCGACGGUUUCUUGUUAUCUGAUUGCUGGGGGCGUAAAUAUUUCCCCUAUUCCCCCCAAUCCGCCCACAAAUAAACAAGCAAAACAAAAAACAAAUGGGCUGUGCACCAUGAAAAGGGGUUUAAUACAUGUGCGUAAAGUGUCAUCUCAGAUAAGCCUAAUUAGGCUAAUCAGGGACAACACUUUAUGCUUUUAUGAUAUUUUUGGUUUAAAGAAAGUUUCUUGUUAAGGUGGAAAGGUUCGUUCCUGAUUAGCCUGUGUGGACUGCACAGUCUAAUCUGGGACAACACUUGGCACAUGCAUUAAACCCCUUUUUCUCAGAGCGUGCCUCAAAUAUAUGUGCUAAAUAGAAAUAGGUUGGGUUGGUGGUAAUAUCAAACACACUGUUCUAUCUAUUAGCUUAAAUUCUAAAUUCGUGGAAGUGUUUGCUCACACUCCAGAACUUCUAAAUACCUGGAUGACUGGAUAUGUCUUUAUGUCACUUACUCCCAUAACCAAAUGCUGUGUUUUGUACUGGUCUUGUCCUUUCUGCCCAUGGUCAAGGUCAUAAUUCAAACUGUCUUGAUCAUUAUCCAAAGUUAAAUAGAAACCGUUUCUAGUAUAUGUUAACAAUAAGCAUGACAUGUAUCCAUUAUUUAUUUUAACCAAUGAAAUUCAUAAAUACACAUGUGAUUAUUUGAGACAGUAUAUAUUUAAAAGACUAUUGUAUUCUGUGACUCAGGGUAAAUUUGUAUUUUUUAAGACUACAGGUACAUGAGCUUGAUUUGAAUACAUAUACUUAAGUUUGAUGUGAUAUUGUUAAAGAAGAACAACCGCUGUAAAUAUACAUAGUUUGUAAUUGUUUAAGAUGCUUGUUGUAAUUUUAAAAAAUAA
Molecule: RNA transcript, 7679 nt
Organism: Dreissena polymorpha
Lineage: Eukaryota; Metazoa; Mollusca; Bivalvia; Myida; Dreissenidae
Gene name: leucine-rich repeat-containing protein 14-like
Exons: 7
Source: RefSeq, a predicted model, not a curated record